This 484-nucleotide ribosomal RNA is filed under the name uncultured bacterium. RNAcentral's name for it is "partial 16S ribosomal RNA". It matches the Rfam family "Bacterial small subunit ribosomal RNA", at positions 29 to 523 of the family's 1533-position model. The record is from RNAcentral.
AAUGAACGUUGGCGGCGUGGAUUAGGCAUGCAAGUCGUACGGGUCGGUGUAGCAAUACAACGGCAAGUGGCGAAAGGGAGAGUAACACGUAGAUGCCUACCCUCUGGUCGGGGAUACCGCGGCAUAACCGCAAGUAAUACCCGAUAAAAUCUCCGGAUCAAAGGUGUGAUUCCGCCGGAGGAGGGGUCUGCGUUCUAUCAGCUUGUUGGUGAGGUAAUGGCUCACCAAGGCUAAGACGGAUACGGGGUGUGAGAGCAUGCCCCCGCUCACUGGGACUGAGACACUGCCCAGACACCUACGGGUGGCUGCAGUCGAGAAUCUUCGGCAAUGGGCGCAAGCCUGACCGAGCGACGCCGCGUGCGGGAUGAAGGCCUUCGGGUUGUAAACCGCUGUCGAGGGGAAUGAAGUGUAGGUGGGUACUCCCAUCUAUUUGACAGAUCCCUGGAGGAAGCAUGGGCUAAGUUCGUGCCAGCCGCCGCUGUAA